RNAcentral lists this long non-coding RNA (253 nucleotides) under Piliocolobus tephrosceles (Ugandan red Colobus). RNAcentral describes it as "lncRNA (ENSPTEG00000037119.1)". Lineage: Eukaryota; Metazoa; Chordata; Mammalia; Primates; Cercopithecidae. The record is from RNAcentral.
CGUCCAUCUGGUACAAGUGAGCUCAGCAAGACAGCCAGGGUGAGCAGAAAGCCCACAGAUACGGGAAAAGUGGUGUCCAGAGUCCUAAUGAUUUGUUUUCCUUGAAGCCAUGAGUCUUACAGAUUUUAUCCUCUACAGGUAGCUGGCAUUCAGCUAACCCAAGCUGAUGUGCCAACAGGAUUAGAUUUAACAUCGAUAACUGGUGAAUGCCUCAUCCAUCCACAGCUUCCUGUAUUUCAGGAUUUCCCAAAAU